Molecule: ribosomal RNA, 460 nt
Filed under: uncultured bacterium
Lineage: Bacteria
Description: partial 16S ribosomal RNA
Rfam family: Bacterial small subunit ribosomal RNA
Source: RNAcentral
CCUACGUGCGGCAGCAGUGAGGAAUAUUGGUCAAUGGGCUUACGCCUGAACCAGCCAAGUCGCGUGAGGGAAGACUGCCCUAUGGGUUGUAAACCUCUUUUGUCAGGGAGCAACGCCGGCUACGUGUAGCCGGACUGAGAGUACCUGAAGAAAAAGCAUCGGCUAACGCCGUGCCAGCAGCCGCGGUGAUACGGAGGAUGCGAGCGUUAUCCGGAUUUCUUGGGUUUAACGGGUGCGUAGGCGGAAUGCCAAGUCAGCGGUAAAAUCGCGGGGCUCAACCUCGCUCCGCCGUUGAAACUGGCGUUCUUGAGUGGGCGAGAAGUAUGCGGAAUGCGUGGGGGAGCGGUGAAAUGCAUAGAUAGCACGCAGAACUCCGAUUGCGAAGGCAGCAUACCGGCGCCCAACUGACGCUGAAGCACGAAAGCGUGGGUAUCGAACAGGAUUAGAUACCCCAGUAGUC